UAGGGAAUCUUCGGCAAUGGACGGAAGUCUGACCGAGCAACGCCGCGUGAGUGAAGAAGGUUUUCGGAUCGUAAAGCUCUGUUGUUAGAGAAGAACGUUGGUAGGAGUGGAAAAUCUACCAAGUGACGGUAACUAACCAGAAAGGGACGGCUAACUACGUGCCAGCAGCCGCGGUAAUACGUAGGUCCCGAGCGUUGUCCGGAUUUAUUGGGUGUAAAGCGAGCGCAGGCGGUUCUUUAAGUCUGAAGUUAAAGGCAGUGGCUUAACCAUUGUACGCUUUGGAAACUGGAGGACUUGAGUGCAGAAGGGGAGAGUGGAAUUCCAUGUGUAGCGGUGAAAUGCGUAGAUAUAUGGAGGAACACCGGCGGCGAAAGCGGCUCUCUGGUCUGUAACUGACGCUGAGGCUCGAAAGCGUGGGGAGCAAACAGG
RNAcentral lists this ribosomal RNA (429 nucleotides) under Bacillota bacterium. Its description in RNAcentral is "Firmicutes bacterium partial 16S ribosomal RNA". It matches the Rfam family "Bacterial small subunit ribosomal RNA", at positions 355 to 776 of the family's 1533-position model. Lineage: Bacteria; Bacillati; Bacillota. The record is from RNAcentral.